RNAcentral lists this transfer RNA (84 nucleotides) under Spirochaetota bacterium. Its description in RNAcentral is "Spirochaetes bacterium (freshwater sediment metagenome) tRNA-Leu". It matches the Rfam family "tRNA". Rfam says of the family: Transfer RNA (tRNA) molecules are approximately 80 nucleotides in length. Their secondary structure includes four short double-helical elements and three loops (D, anti-codon, and T loops). Further hydrogen bonds mediate the characteristic L-shaped molecular structure. tRNAs have two regions of fundamental functional importance: the anti-codon, which is responsible for specific mRNA codon recognition, and the 3' end, to which the tRNAs corresponding amino acid is attached (by aminoacyl-tRNA synthetases). tRNAs cope with the degeneracy of the genetic code in two manners: having more than one tRNA (with a specific anti-codon) for a particular amino acid; and 'wobble' base-pairing, i.e. permitting non-standard base-pairing at the 3rd anti-codon position. The record is from RNAcentral. Lineage: Bacteria; Pseudomonadati; Spirochaetota.
GCCGUGAUGGCGGAACUGGUAGACGCGCCAGGUUCAGGGUCUGGUAGGGGUUUCUCUGUGAGGGUUCGAGUCCCUCUCACGGCA